This 300-nucleotide unclassified non-coding RNA is filed under the name uncultured fungus. Its description in RNAcentral is "sequence contains ITS1". The stretch from base 1 to 103 matches the Rfam family "5.8S ribosomal RNA", at positions 50 to 154 of the family's 154-position model. The record is from RNAcentral. Lineage: Eukaryota; Fungi.
GAAAUGCGAUACGUGAUGUGAAUUGCAGACUUGUGAAUCAUCGAAAUUUUGAACGCACAUGGCGCCCAUUGGUAUUCCAGUGGGCACAUCUGUUUGAGCGUUGUUAAACUCUCUCGGGUAACUCCGGUGGUGGAGGAGGUCGUACAGCAGUCAGACCCCUCUUGAAUAUCGCAGCAUUACGGUUAACGUGAUUUAUACUCGGUGCAACGAGUCCCUACUCUCUAACUCGUUGCUGGUCAAACUCAUUUUUUUUUUUAUCUUCUCAACCUCAAAUCAGAUGGGAGUACCCGCUGAACUUAA